Molecule: ribosomal RNA, 270 nt
Filed under: uncultured archaeon
Lineage: Archaea
Description: partial 16S ribosomal RNA
Rfam family: Archaeal small subunit ribosomal RNA
Source: RNAcentral
CAGCACCUCAAGUGAUCAGGAUGAUUAUUGGGCCUAAAGCAUCCGUAGCCGGCGCUGUAAGUUUUCGGUUAAAUCUGUACGCUCAACGUACAGGCUGCCGGGAAUACUGCAGAGCUAGGGAGUGGGAGAGGUAGACGGUACUCGGUAGGAAGGGGUAAAAUCCUUUGAUCUAUUGAUGACCACCUGUGGCGGAGGCGGUCUACCAGAACACGUCCGACGGUGAGGGAUGAAAGCUGGGGGAGCAAACCGGAUUAGAUACCCGCGUAGUCC